CACCGCGGUUAUACGAGAGACCCAAAUUGAUGAAGAUCGGCGUAAAGCGUGGUUAAGAAAAUAAAAAAUGGGGCCGAAUGGUUCCAAAACAGUUAUAAGUACUCGGUACCUUGAAGUUCAAAAACGAAAGUAGCCCUAUCAAACUCUGACCCCACGAAAGCUACAGAA
RNAcentral lists this ribosomal RNA (168 nucleotides) under Moridae sp. YHW-2019. Its description in RNAcentral is "partial 12S small subunit ribosomal RNA". Lineage: Eukaryota; Metazoa; Chordata; Actinopteri; Gadiformes; Moridae. The record is from RNAcentral. RNAcentral also lists the same sequence under 1 other name.